GCUGCUGUAGCUCAGUGGUAGAGCACGUCAUUGGUAAUGACGGGGUCGUAGGUCCGAUUCCUAUCAGCAGCACCA
Molecule: transfer RNA, 75 nt
Filed under: Alphaproteobacteria bacterium
Lineage: Bacteria; Pseudomonadati; Pseudomonadota; Alphaproteobacteria
Description: tRNA-Thr
Rfam family: tRNA
About the family: Transfer RNA (tRNA) molecules are approximately 80 nucleotides in length. Their secondary structure includes four short double-helical elements and three loops (D, anti-codon, and T loops). Further hydrogen bonds mediate the characteristic L-shaped molecular structure. tRNAs have two regions of fundamental functional importance: the anti-codon, which is responsible for specific mRNA codon recognition, and the 3' end, to which the tRNAs corresponding amino acid is attached (by aminoacyl-tRNA synthetases). tRNAs cope with the degeneracy of the genetic code in two manners: having more than one tRNA (with a specific anti-codon) for a particular amino acid; and 'wobble' base-pairing, i.e. permitting non-standard base-pairing at the 3rd anti-codon position.
Source: RNAcentral